This 443-nucleotide ribosomal RNA is filed under the name uncultured bacterium. RNAcentral's name for it is "partial 16S ribosomal RNA". It matches the Rfam family "Bacterial small subunit ribosomal RNA", at positions 338 to 795 of the family's 1533-position model. The record is from RNAcentral.
CCUACGGGAGGCAGCAGUGGGGAAUAUUGGGCAAUGGGCGCAAGCCUGACCCAGCAACGCCGCGUGAAGGAAGAAGGCUUUCGGGUUGUAAACUUCUUUUCUCAGGGACGAAGCAAGUGACGGUACCUGAGGAAUAAGCCACGGCUAACUACGUGCCAGCCGCCGUGGUAAUACGGAGGUGGCAAGCGUCAUCCGGAUUUACUGGGUGGAAAGGGCGUGUAGGCGGGAAAGAAAGUCAGAUGUGAAAACCAUGGGCUCAACGUGUGGACUGCAGUUGAAACUGGUUUUCUUGAGUGCUGGAGAGGCAGACGGAAUGCGUGGUGUAGCGGUGAAAUGCGUAGAUAUUAGGAGGAACACCGGUGGCGAAGGCGGUCUACUGGACAGCAACUGACGCUGAGGCGCGAAAGCGUGGGGAGCAAACAGGAUUAGAUACCCCUGUAGUC